UGGGGAAUUUUGGACAAUGGGCGCAAGCCUGAUCCAGCCAUGCCGCGUGAGUGAAGAAGGCCUUCGGGUUGUAAAGCUCUUUCAGUAGGAACGAAACGAUAGGCUCUAACAUAGCCUGUUACUGACGGUACCUACAGAAGAAGCACCGGCUAACUACGUGCCAGCAGCCGCGGUAAUACGUAGGGUGCGAGCGUUAACCGGAAUUACUGGGCGUAAAGCGUGCGCAGGCGGUUUCUUAAGCCAGAUGUGAAAGCCCCGGGCUUAACCUGGGAAUUGCGUUUGGAACUGGGAGACUAGAGUGUGGCAGAGGGAGGUAGAAUUCCACGUGUAGCAGUGAAAUGCGUAGAGAUGUGGAGGAAUACCGAUGGCGAAGGCAGCCUCCUGGGCCAACACUGACGCUCAUGCACGAAAGCGUGGGGAGCAAACA
RNAcentral lists this ribosomal RNA (427 nucleotides) under uncultured bacterium. RNAcentral describes it as "bacterial SSU rRNA". It matches the Rfam family "Bacterial small subunit ribosomal RNA", at positions 355 to 774 of the family's 1533-position model. The record is from RNAcentral.